Molecule: ribosomal RNA, 468 nt
Filed under: uncultured bacterium
Lineage: Bacteria
Description: partial 16S ribosomal RNA
Rfam family: Bacterial small subunit ribosomal RNA
Source: RNAcentral
GACGAACGCUGGCGGCGUGCUUAACACAUGCAAGUCGAACGGAAAGGCCCUGCUUUUGUGGGGUGCUCGAGUGGCGAACGGGUGAGUAACACGUGAGUAACCUGCCCUUGACUUUGGGAUAACUUCAGGAAACUGGGGCUAAUACCGGAUAGGAGCUCCUGCUGCAUGGUGGGGGUUGGAAAGUUUCGGCGGUUGGGGAUGGACUCGCGGCUUAUCAGCUUGUUGGUGGGGUAGUGGCUUACCAAGGCUUUGACGGGUAGCCGGCCUGAGAGGGUCACCGGCCACAUUGGGACUGGGAUACGGCCCAGACUCCUACGGGAGGCAGCAGUGGGGAAUAUUGCACAAUGGGCGGAAGCCUGAUGCAGCAACGCCGCGUGCGGGAUGACGGCCUUCGGGUUGGAAACCGCUUUCGCCUGUGACGAAGCGUGAGUGACGGUAAUGGGUAAAGAAGCACCGGCUAACUACGUG